UCACUGUAUUUUCGAUUGAUUUGAAUUAAUCCCGUCAGGAAUUUUAAGAGGCUCAUCUUGCUAUCCACCCUCCUCGCCUCGCGGGGCUGGGGAGCGUCAGGGGGCCCAAGGCCUUCCUGGCGAGCGUCGCAGGGCUCAGGGCUCCGGCAGGGCGCCUCGGCUCCCCCGGAGCGUCCACGGAGGUGUCGGAGAUCCCGAGGGUCCGGGGGUUGGGGGGGCGUGAAGUGGCAGCAAGACAUGCAGUUACUGACCUCUUAUUAGCCAGACGACGCGUUAAUGACACGUUCCAAUGGAAGGUUCGACGCAUGGGGAGGUACAAUUCCCCUAAGCAAGGCAAGUGUCAUGCCAACUACGAUAAAAAACGAAAAAUACACAAAAAAAAUACAAAAACAAAAAAUCCAAAAAAAAUUGUCUUGUUUUGCUUUGUUUAAAGCGUCUUGUAUGUUGGUAUGGCGGGUCUUCUCUGGGGAGAAGGAGACUAACGCGUUCCAACAUACAAAACCAGGAAAAGACGACAUGGAAACACCGAGAGAAGGAAGGGAAAGAAGGGAACACCAGAAGAAGGAAAAUGAAGAGAAGUAACACUAGAAGAAGGCAUAUGAAGUAACACAAGAAGAAGGAAGUUGAAAAGAGUAACACAAGAAGAAGGAAUUUGAAAAGAGUAACACAGAAGAAGGUAUUGAAAAGAGUAACACAGAAGAAGGAAGUUGAAAAGAGUAACACAGAAGAAGGUAUUGAAAAGAGUAACACAGAAGAAGGUAUUGAAAAGAGUAACACAGAAGAAGGUAUUGAAAAGAGUAACACAGAAGAAGGUAUUGAAAAGAGUAACACAGAAGAAGGUAUUGAAAAGAGUAACACAGAAGAAGGUAUUGAAAAGAGUAACACAAGAAGAAGGUAUUGAAAAGAGUAACACAGAAGAAGGUAUUGAAAAGAGUAACACAGAAGAAGGUAUUGAAAAGAGUAACACAAGAAGAAGGUAUUGAAAAGAGUUACACAGAAGAAGGAAUUUGAAAAGAGU
Long non-coding RNA from Eriocheir sinensis (Chinese mitten crab), 1018 nucleotides. RefSeq lists it as uncharacterized. The transcript has 3 exons. The record is from RefSeq and is a predicted model, not a curated record. NCBI's taxonomy places the organism in Eukaryota, Metazoa, Arthropoda, Malacostraca, Decapoda, Varunidae.